Molecule: ribosomal RNA, 253 nt
Filed under: uncultured bacterium
Lineage: Bacteria
Description: partial 16S ribosomal RNA
Rfam family: Bacterial small subunit ribosomal RNA
Source: RNAcentral
UACGGAGGGUGCAAGCGUUAUCCGGAUUCACUGGGUUUAAAGGGUGCGUAGGCGGGUUGGUAAGUCCGUGGUGAAAUCUCCGAGCUUAAUUCGGAAACUGCCGUGGAUACUAUCAAUCUUGAAUAUCGUGGAGGUAAGCGGAAUAUGUCAUGUAGCGGUGAAAUGCUUAGAGAUGACAUAGAACACCAAUUGCGUAGGCAGCUUACUACACGAUCAUUGACGCUGAGGCACGAAAGCGUGGGGAGCAAACAGG